AAAAUAAUAAUAAAUAAAGUCCUCAGCAAAUUUCUAUUGAAGAAAAAGGAAUAGAAAUAUCUGUUUAUACGUUCCAGCGUCAGAGGACGACGUUGGUACAAAGAGCUAAAACUGGUGUCGUAUCAUAGACUUUUCGAGCUCCUGUUUUGAAUUGAAAUGGUAAAGUAUGUCGAGGGGAGCAAGCCGUCUUGCUUCACAGGGGAGACAGAUCAGGCAUUGCAUUUGUGCAUGGGAACAUCUUUUACGGAAAGUUAUGGAUUCAAAAAGCAAAUGGUUUCUCAUCUGGAUAGACAUGUGGUCAAUCCUUUCACAACACUGUCCAUUUAGAUGUGAACACUUUGAAACCUCUAUCGAUUUUGCCUAGUGGCAGACGACUUAUUUCAUCAAUGUCGCUGAGUCGCUGUGAGAAGUCUAGCAAAGUUUACCCUCAACAAAGAUGUAGAGCAAGAUUUGGAUGCUAUUCGCUUCCAAGUCCAUUGCCCGGAGGAUGGCUCAAGCCAAAUGACAAGGAUAGGAUAGGGAAAAAAAAGGAUUCGCGCUUACUAUAAAUCUGAGGAGUUUGACAUAACAGAAGCGAAGGUGGACUCUUUGUCAUCUCCAGAUGGAACUAAUGAAGCUGUUCUCGUUGGCGGAAGCAUGCAGGAAGGGGUCCCUUUCUGGCAGAAUUUUCCAAAGCGCUGGGUUUUUAUAUUUCUUUGUUUUGCAUCAUUCCUGUUAUGCAAUAUGGGCCGUGUCAAGAUGAGCAUUGCAAUACUCCCAUGUCAAAAGAGUUUAACUUGAACAGUGCAACAGU
Hibiscus syriacus is the source of this 793-nucleotide long non-coding RNA. RefSeq lists it as uncharacterized. NCBI's taxonomy places the organism in Eukaryota, Viridiplantae, Streptophyta, Magnoliopsida, Malvales, Malvaceae. The record is from RefSeq and is a predicted model, not a curated record. The transcript is spliced from 3 exons.